RNAcentral lists this ribosomal RNA (301 nucleotides) under uncultured bacterium. Its description in RNAcentral is "partial 16S ribosomal RNA". It matches the Rfam family "Bacterial small subunit ribosomal RNA", at positions 509 to 809 of the family's 1533-position model. The record is from RNAcentral.
CAGUCGCCACGGUAAUACGUAGGUGGCAAGCGUUGUCCGGAAUUAUUGGGCGUAAAGCGCGCGCAGGCGGAUAGGUCAGUCUGUCUUAAAAGUUCGGGGCUUAACCCCGUGAUGGGAUGGAAACUGCCAAUCUAGAGUAUCGGAGAGGAAAGUGGAAUUCCUAGUGUAGCGGUGAAAUGCGUAGAUAUUAGGAAGAACACCAGUGGCGAAGGCGACUUUCUGGACGAAAACUGACGCUGAGGCGCGAAAGCCAGGGGAGCGAACGGGAUUAGAUACCCGCGUAGUCCCUGUCUCUUAUACA